RNAcentral lists this ribosomal RNA (447 nucleotides) under uncultured bacterium. RNAcentral's name for it is "partial 16S ribosomal RNA". It matches the Rfam family "Bacterial small subunit ribosomal RNA", at positions 29 to 523 of the family's 1533-position model. The record is from RNAcentral.
AACGAACGCUGGCGGCAGGCUUAACACAUGCAAGUCGAACGCAUCGCAAGAUGAGUGGCAGACGGGUGAGGAACACGGGGGAACAUCCCUUUCAGUUCGGAAUAACUCAGGGAAACUUGAGCUAAUACCGGAUACGUCCGUGAGGAGAAAGAUUUAUCGCUGAAAGAUUGGCCCGCGUCUGAUUAGCUAGUUGGUGAGGUAAUGGCUCACCAAGGCUACGAUCAGUAGCUGAUCUGAGAGGAUGAUCAGCCACAUUGGGACUGAGACACGGCCCAAACUCCUACGGGAGGCAGCAGUGGGGAGUAUUGGACAAUGGGCGCAAGCCUGAUCCAGCCAUGCCGCGUGAGUGAUGAAGGCCUUCGGGUUGUAAAGCUCUUUUGUCCGGGAAGAUAAUGACUGUACCGGAAGAAUAAGCCCCGGCAAACUUCGUGCCAGCCGCCGCCGUAA